GUCGAACGAAACUUCUUUAUCACCGAGUGCUUGCACUCACCGAUAAAGAGUUGAGUGGCGAACGGGUGAGUAACACGUGGGCAACCUGCCCAAAAGAGGGGGAUAACACUUGGAAACAGGUGCUAAUACCGCAUAACCAUAGUUACCGCAUGGUAACUAUGUAAAAGGUGGCUAUGCUACCGCUUUUGGAUGGGCCCGCGGCGCAUUAGCUAGUUGGUGAGGUAAAGGCUUACCAAGGCAAUGAUGCGUAGCCGAACUGAGAGGUUGAUCGGCCACAUUGGGACUGAGACACGGCCCAAACUCCUACGGGAGGCAGCAGUAGGGAAUCUUCCACAAUGGGCGAAAGCCUGAUGGAGCAACGCCGCGUGGGUGAAGAAGGUCUUCGGAUCGUAAAACCCUGUUGUUAGAGAAGAAAGUGCGUGAGAGUAACUGUUCACGUUUCGACGGUAUCUAACCAGAAAGCCACGGCUAACUACGUGCCAGCAGCCGCGGUAAUACGUAGGUGGCAAGCGUUAUCCGGAUUUAUUGGGCGUAAAGGGAACGCAGGCGGUCUUUUAAGUCUGAUGUGAAAGCCUUCGGCUUAACCGGAGUAGUGCAUUGGAAACUGGGAGACUUGAGUGCAGAAGAGGAGAGUGGAACUCCAUGUGUAGCGGUGAAAUGCGUAGAUAUAUGGAAGAACACCAGUGGC
RNAcentral lists this ribosomal RNA (688 nucleotides) under Ligilactobacillus animalis. RNAcentral describes it as "bacterial SSU rRNA". It matches the Rfam family "Bacterial small subunit ribosomal RNA", at positions 61 to 716 of the family's 1533-position model. The record is from RNAcentral. Lineage: Bacteria; Bacillati; Bacillota; Bacilli; Lactobacillales; Lactobacillaceae.